RNAcentral lists this transfer RNA (58 nucleotides) under Loxodonta africana (African savanna elephant). It matches the Rfam family "tRNA", at positions 8 to 63 of the family's 71-position model. Rfam says of the family: Transfer RNA (tRNA) molecules are approximately 80 nucleotides in length. The record is from Rfam by way of RNAcentral. Lineage: Eukaryota; Metazoa; Chordata; Mammalia; Proboscidea; Elephantidae.
UGGUAUAGUGGUUAAAGUGUUUGGCUGCUAGCCAAAAGGUUGGUGGUUCAAACCCACC